AUGAGAUUUUACAAAAUAAGACCAUACCACACUUUCCUAUUUCCCUGAUGCCUAGAACAGUUCCUUAACAUAGGAGGUAGGUUACAAAGGUUUAUUGAAUGAAAGGAUAUGACUUGUAAAUGUAUAUUUUGUGUCUACUAUUUAAGAUCCACAAAGAAAUCAUCAAAGCCAUGUGAAAACAUGGUAACCAUUGAUCAAACAAUGUAAUAUUAUCACUAUAGUUUCUCAGUAGGUCACAAUCCCUCAAGACUCCGCAGUCAAAAUGGAACUCUACAUUGUUUCAUAGCCUCUUUUUUAGAUUGGAGUCCAAGAGCUACAUCAGAAGUAAGUGGAGAACCUAGGAAUUGGAGAGGAUAGAGUAAAGAUUGAUCCCAAAGAGCAAAGACCAUUCAUCUAAACUUAGAAACAGAAAAGUGGAAUGUAUGACAUUGAAGAGAGUGUCCAAACAUAGCAUCAAAAAGAUUUAUUUUCUUCAUCAGUACUGAAUGAUUCCUGACAACCAUCUAGCAGCAUUAUUUGUGGGUUGUUCUCUAACACCUCACCCCAAUAUAUAUAUAUAGUAAAGUAACACUGAUAAGUUAAGGUAAACAAGAUAUCUAAAUACCAUUACACAAAAAUCAGGGGUCUGUGAUGGCUGAACAAAUUGCCCUAUGUACUAGAGAGGGGAAAUCAGAAGAUGUCACACCAGGAAGUAGUUGAAUGAAAGAAGCUGAAUCUUGAGCCCCCCUUCCCUCUCUACUUCCUGUUCUUCCUUUCACCAAGCAACCUAAUGGAGGUUUUCUUCACAGAUGAAAAGUAAUGGACAAGGGUGGAAUGAAAGGGACCACAUAGUUCACUGUACAUCUCCUUUCUUAAAGAAGUCUCAUCCACUGCUGAGCUUUGAUGAAGGACAUUAGCUUGGUAUGGAAGCAAGAGGAUGUGAUUUCAUGAAGAAAACUAUCUCUCAUAACAAAACCUGCCAAGGAAAGAGAAGGGAGGGAGUAGGAGAAAGCAGUUCCCCCAAAGCUACCCACAUCAAAAAUGAACAACUAAAACAGUCCUGUAUAGAGGCAAUUAGGAAGCAUAAUGGAUCGAGUGCCAGGAGUCAUAGGAUCUGGUUUCAAAUCUGGCCUCAGCCACUUCUUAGCUGGAUGACUCUGGCUCCAUCUUUCUGCCUAUUAUCACACAUCUACAUUGGUACAAGGAAUACAGAGAAGAAAUCAGAAAGGCCAGAAAGAAGCAUAGACAAGGGUUCUUGUUCAUUUGAAUAUAAAAAGACAUUCAGUUCCCAAUAUAAACGAAUUUAAAGUGGAGUGUAAGGUAUAUCUGCCUGAUGUGGAGAAAGUCGGAUCUCCUUGGCAACUGAAUGAGGAAUCUGAGGACUCAAAGGCUAGAGAUGAGGACCCACAAUGCACUUCUGGAGUCCACGUUGAACAGUUUUGAGGUAGAAGGGAGCUUCGGGAUCAUUUAGGACACUCUUCAUUUUACAGCUGAGGCAACUGGCGUCCGAGACUAACGUCCCACAGGCAGUACGAAGCAGAGCUGGCACAUGAACCCCCUCCUCCGACGCCAAGUUUAUUGGCCGCUCUGCCCUGUCCUGGGCAGACGCAGGCAGACCAAUUACAGAUCCCAGCCCAACGCUACACCUGAGAGACUUGGAAACAAACAUCGAGUCUGGGGGUUCUUUGUGGCUUUUUGGUGCCCCCUAAGGACUCCUUCCCCAAAUAAUUCCUUUAAAUUCAGGAAAUAAACAUACAUAGGAUUACA
Long non-coding RNA from Monodelphis domestica (gray short-tailed opossum), 1746 nucleotides. Lineage: Eukaryota; Metazoa; Chordata; Mammalia; Didelphimorphia; Didelphidae. The record is from Ensembl.